Molecule: ribosomal RNA, 253 nt
Filed under: uncultured bacterium
Lineage: Bacteria
Description: partial 16S ribosomal RNA
Rfam family: Bacterial small subunit ribosomal RNA
Source: RNAcentral
UACGGGGGGGGCAAGCGUUGUUCGGAAUUACUGGGCGUAAAGGGCUCGUAGGCGGCCAACUAAGUCGGAUGUGAAAUCACCAGGCUUAACCUGGGAACUGCAUCCGAUACUGGAUGGCUUGAAUCCGGGAGAGGGAUGCAGAAUUCCAGGUGUAGCGGUGAAAUGCGUAGAUAUCUGGAGGAAUACCGGUGGCGAAGGCGGCAUCCUGGACCGGCAUUGACGCUGAUGAGCGAAAGCUAGGGGAGCAAACGGG